UACCGGAUAGGAGCGUCCACCGCAUGGUGGGUGUUGGAAAGAUUUAUCGGUUUUGGAUGGACUCGCGGCCUAUCAGCUUGUUGGUGAGGUAAUGGCUCACCAAGGCGACGACGGGUAGCCGGCCUGAGAGGGUGACCGGCCACACUGGGACUGAGACACGGCCCAGACUCCUACGGGAGGCAGCAGUGGGGAAUAUUGCACAAUGGGCGCAAGCCAUGAUGCAGCGACGCCGCGUGAGGGAUGACGGCCUUCGGGUUGUAAACCUCUUUCAGUAGGGAAGAAGCGAAAGUGACGGUACCUGCAGAAGAAGCACCGGCUAACUACGUGCCAGCAGCCGCGGUAAUACGUAGGGUGCGAGCGUUAUCCGGAAUUAUUGGGCGUAAAGAGCUCGUAGGCGGUUUGUCGCGUCUGUCGUGAAAGUCCGGGGCUUAACCCCGGAUCUGCGGUGGGUACGGGCAGACGAGAGUGCAGUAGGGGAGACUGGAAUUCCUGGUGUAGCGGUGGAAUGCGCAGAUAUCAGGAGGAACACCGAUGGCGAAGGCAGGUCUCUGGGCUGUAACUGACGCUGAGGAGCGAAAGCAUGGGGAGCGAACAGGAUUAGAUACCCUGGUAGUCCAUGCCGUAAACGUUGGGCACUAGGUGUGGGGACCAUUCCACGGUUUCCGCGCCGCAGCUAACGCAUUAAGUGCCCCGCCUGGGGAGUACGGCCGCAAGGCUAAAACUCAAAGGAAUUGACGGGGGCCCGCACAAGCGCGGAGCAUGCGGAUUAAUUCGAUGCAACGCGAAGAACCUUACCAAGGCUUGACAUGUUCUCGAUCGCCGUAGAGAUACGGUUUCCCCUUUGGGGCGGGUUCACAGGUGGUACAUGGUUGUCGUCAGCUCGUGUCGUGAGAGUUGGGUUAAGUCCCGCAACGAGCGCAACCCUCGUUCCAUGUUGCCAGCACGUAGUGGUGGGGACUCAUGGGAGAGUGCCGGGGUCAACUCGGAAGGAAGGUGAGGACGACGUCAAUAUCAUCAUGCCCCUUAUGUCUUGGGCUUCACGCAUGCUACAAUGGCCGGUACAAUGGGUUGCGAUACUGUGAGGUGGAGCUAAUCCCAAAAAUCCGGUCUCAGUUCGGAUUGGGGUCUGCAACUCGACCCCAUGAAGUCGGAGUCGCUAGUAAUCGCAGAUCAGCAACGCUGCGGUGAAUACGUUCCCGGGCCUUGUACACACCAGCCCGUCAAGUCACGAAAGUCGGUAACACCCGAUGCCGGUGGCCUAACCCUUGUGGGGGGACCGUCGAA
RNAcentral lists this ribosomal RNA (1284 nucleotides) under Micrococcus luteus. RNAcentral's name for it is "bacterial SSU rRNA". It matches the Rfam family "Bacterial small subunit ribosomal RNA", at positions 167 to 1460 of the family's 1533-position model. Lineage: Bacteria; Bacillati; Actinomycetota; Actinomycetes; Micrococcales; Micrococcaceae. The record is from RNAcentral.